Molecule: ribosomal RNA, 493 nt
Filed under: uncultured bacterium
Lineage: Bacteria
Description: bacterial SSU rRNA
Rfam family: Bacterial small subunit ribosomal RNA
Source: RNAcentral
CGAUUGAACGCUAGCGGGAUGCUUUACACAUGCAAGUCGAACGGCAGCGCGAGGAAAGCUUGCUUUUCUUGGCGGCGAGUGGCGAACGGGUGAGUAAUGUAUCGGAACGUGCCCAGUAGCGGGGGAUAACUACGCGAAAGCGUGGCUAAUACCGCAUACGCCCUACGGGGAAAGGGGGGGAUCGCAAGACCUCUCACUAUUGGAGCGGCCGAUAUCGGAUUAGCUAGUUGGUGGGGUAAAGGCUCACCAAGGCAGUGAUCCGUAGCUGGUUUGAGAGGACGACCAGCCACACUGGGACUGAGACACGGCCCAGACUCCUACGGGAGGCAGCAGUGGGGAAUUUUGGACAAUGGGGGCAACCCUGAUCCAGCCAUCCCGCGUGUGCGAUGAAGGCCUUCGGGUUGUAAAGCACUUUUGGCAGGGAAGAAACGGCGCUGGCCAAUACCUGGCGCCACUGACGGUACCUGCAGAAUAAGCACCGGCUAACUACGUG